CUUACCGGAGGCUUCAUGGAUCCCGAUCCCACUCCCCAUCAUCGAUGGAGCAUAACUUUUUCCCGGUAAGCCAGUCUUUAUCACUGCCUUACCGGUUUUGCGUGAGGCAGUGACGUCGU
RNAcentral lists this non-coding RNA (119 nucleotides) under Enterobacter cloacae. Its description in RNAcentral is "Magnesium sequence". It matches the Rfam family "Magnesium riboswitch aptamer (Magnesium responsive RNA element)". Rfam says of the family: The Magnesium sensor RNA element is a cis-regulatory element that regulates the expression of the magnesium transporter protein MgtA. The record is from RNAcentral. Lineage: Bacteria; Pseudomonadati; Pseudomonadota; Gammaproteobacteria; Enterobacterales; Enterobacteriaceae. RNAcentral also lists the same sequence under 1 other name.